RNAcentral lists this transfer RNA (68 nucleotides) under Athetis lepigone. Its description in RNAcentral is "tRNA-Met". The record is from RNAcentral. Lineage: Eukaryota; Metazoa; Arthropoda; Insecta; Lepidoptera; Noctuidae.
UUAAAAAUAAGCUAAAUUAAGCUUUUGGGUUCAUACCCCGACUAUAAAGAAUUAUCCUUUUUUUUAAA